This 343-nucleotide ribosomal RNA is filed under the name uncultured bacterium. RNAcentral describes it as "bacterial SSU rRNA". It matches the Rfam family "Bacterial small subunit ribosomal RNA", at positions 568 to 913 of the family's 1533-position model. The record is from RNAcentral.
UGCGUAGGCGGUUCUAUAAGUCAGUGGUGAAAUACGGCAGCUUAACUGUCGAGGUGCCAUUGAUACUGUAGAACUUGAGUAUAGACGAGGUAGGCGGAAUUGACGGUGUAGCGGUGAAAUGCUUAGAUAUCGUCAAGAACACCGAUAGCGAAGGCAGCUUACUAGACUAAAACUGACGCUGAGGCACGAAAGUGUGGGGAUCAAACAGGAUUAGAUACCCUGGUAGUCCACACUGUAAACGAUGAUUACUCGAUGUUGGCGAUACACAGCCAGCGUCUUAGCAAAAGCGAUAAGUAAUCCACCUGGGGAGUACGCCGGCAACGGUGAAACUCAAAGGAAUUGA